GUACACAAAAAUGCACAUACUGUGAGCUCGAUGAGUAGGGCGGGACACGUGGUAUCCUGUCUGAAUAUGGGGGGACCAUCCUCCAAGGCUAAAUACUCCUGACUGACCGAUAGUGAACCAGUACCGUGAGGGAAAGGCGAAAAGAACCCCGGCGAGGGGAGUGAAAAAGAACCUGAAACCGUGUACGUACAAGCAGUGGGAGCACGCUUAGGCGUGUGACUGCGUACCUUUUGUAUAAUGGGUCAGCGACUUAUAUUCUGUAGCAAGGUUAACCGAAUAGGGGAGCCGAAGGGAAACCGAGUCUUAACUGGGCGUUAAGUUGCAGGGUAUAGACCCGAAACCCGGUGAUCUAGCCAUGGGCAGGUUGAAGGUUGGGUAACACUAACUGGAGGACCGAACCGACUAAUGUUGAAAAAUUAGCGGAUGACUUGUGGCUGGGGGUGAAAGGCCAAUCAAACCGGGAGAUAGCUGGUUCUCCCCGAAAGCUAUUUAGGUAGCGCCUCGUGAAUUCAUCUCCGGGGGUAGAGCACUGUUUCGGCAAGGGGGUCAUCCCGACUUACCAACCCGAUGCAAACUGCGAAUACCGGAGAAUGUUAUCACGGGAGACACACGGCGGGUGCUAACGUCCGUCGUGAAGAGGGAAACAACCCAGACCGCCAGCUAAGGUCCCAAAGUCAUGGUUAAGUGGGAAACGAUGUGGGAAGGCCCAGACAGCCAGGAUGUUGGCUUAGAAGCAGCCAUCAUUUAAAGAAAGCGUAAUAGCUCACUGGUCGAGUCGGCCUGCGCGGAAGAUGUAACGGGGCUAAACCAUGCACCGAAGCUGCGGCAGCGACGCUGAUGCGUUGUUGGGUAGGGGAGCGUUCUGUAAGCCUGUGAAGGUGUGCUGUGAGGCAUGCUGGAGGUAUCAGAAGUGCGAAUGCUGACAUAAGUAACGAUAAAGCGGGUGAAAAGCCCGCUCGCCGGAAGACCAAGGGUUCCUGUCCAACGUUAAUCGGGGCAGGGUGAGUCGACCCCUAAGGCGAGGCCGAAAGGCGUAGUCGAUGGGAAACAGGUUAAUAUUCCUGUACUUGGUGUUACUGCGAAGGGGGGACGGAGAAGGCUAUGUUGGCCGGGCGACGGUUGUCCCGGUUUAAGCGUGUAGGCUGGUUUUCCAGGCAAAUCCGGAAAAUCAAGGCUGAGGCGUGAUGACGAGGCACUACGGUGCUGAAGCAACAAAUGCCCUGCUUCCAGGAAAAGCCUCUAAGCAUCAGGUAACAUCAAAUCGUACCCCAAACCGACACAGGUGGUCAGGUAGAGAAUACCAAGGCGCUUGAGAGAACUCGGGUGAAGGAACUAGGCAAAAUGGUGCCGUAACUUCGGGAGAAGGCACGCUGAUAUGUAGGUGAAGCGACUUGCUCGUGGAGCUGAAAUCAGUCGAAGAUACCAGCUGGCUGCAACUGUUUAUUAAAAACACAGCACUGUGCAAACACGAAAGUGGACGUAUACGGUGUGACGCCUGCCCGGUGCCGGAAGGUUAAUUGAUGGGGUCAGCGCAAGCGAAGCUCUUGAUCGAAGCCCCGGUAAACGGCGGCCGUAACUAUAACGGUCCUAAGGUAGCGAAAUUCCUUGUCGGGUAAGUUCCGACCUGCACGAAUGGCGUAAUGAUGGCCAGGCUGUCUCCACCCGAGACUCAGUGAAAUUGAACUCGCUGUGAAGAUGCAGUGUACCCGCGGCAAGACGGAAAGACCCCGUGAACCUUUACUAUAGCUUGACACUGAACAUUGAGCCUUGAUGUGUAGGAUAGGUGGGAGGCUUUGAAGUGUGGACGCCAGUCUGCAUGGAGCCGACCUUGAAAUACCACCCUUUAAUGUUUGAUGUUCUAACGUUGACCCGUAAUCCGGGUUGCGGACAGUGUCUGGUGGGUAGUUUGACUGGGGCGGUCUCCUCCUAAAGAGUAACGGAGGAGCACGAAGGUUGGCUAAUCCUGGUCGGACAUCAGGAGGUUAGUGCAAUGGCAUAAGCCAGCUUGACUGCGAGCGUGACGGCGCGAGCAGGUGCGAAAGCAGGUCAUAGUGAUCCGGUGGUUCUGAAUGGAAGGGCCAUCGCUCAACGGAUAAAAGGUACUCCGGGGAUAACAGGCUGAUACCGCCCAAGAGUUCAUAUCGACGGCGGUGUUUGGCACCUCGAUGUCGGCUCAUCACAUCCUGGGGCUGAAGUAGGUCCCAAGGGUAUGGCUGUUCGCCAUUUAAAGUGGUACGCGAGCUGGGUUUAGAACGUCGUGAGACAGUUCGGUC
Molecule: ribosomal RNA, 2273 nt
Filed under: Escherichia coli
Lineage: Bacteria; Pseudomonadati; Pseudomonadota; Gammaproteobacteria; Enterobacterales; Enterobacteriaceae
Description: partial 23S ribosomal RNA
Rfam family: Bacterial large subunit ribosomal RNA
Source: RNAcentral